Molecule: ribosomal RNA, 1073 nt
Filed under: uncultured bacterium
Lineage: Bacteria
Description: bacterial SSU rRNA
Rfam family: Bacterial small subunit ribosomal RNA
Source: RNAcentral
CCCCUGCUUGCAGGGGUGCUCGAGUGGCGAACGGGUGAGUAACACGUGGGUGAUCUGCCUUGUACUCUGGGAUAAGCUUGGGAAACUGGGUCUAACACCGGAUAGGAACUGCCUUUAGUGUGGUGGUUGGAAAGUUUUUUCGGUGCAAGAUGAGCUCGCGGCCUAUCAGCUUGUUGGUGGGGUAAUGGCCUACCAAGGCGUCGACGGGUAGCCGGCCUGAGAGGGUGUACGGCCACAUUGGGACUGAGAUACGGCCCAGACUCCUACGGGAGGCAGCAGUGGGGAAUAUUGCACAAUGGGCGGAAGCCUGAUGCAGCGACGCCGCGUGGGGGAUGACGGCCUUCGGGUUGUAAACUCCUUUCGACAGGGACGAAGCGCAAGUGACGGUACCUGUAUAAGAAGCACCGGCUAACUACGUGCCAGCAGCCGCGGUAAUACGUAGGGUGCGAGCGUUGUCCGGAAUUACUGGGCGUAAAGAGCUCGUAGGUGGUUUGUCGCGUCGUCUGUGAAAUUCCGGGGCUUAACUCCGGGCGUGCAGGCGAUACGGGCAUAACUUGAGUGCUGUAGGGGAGACUGGAAUUCCUGGUGUAGCGGUGAAAUGCGCAGAUAUCAGGAGGAACACCGAUGGCGAAGGCAGGUCUCUGGGCAGUUACUGACGCUGAGGAGCGAAAGCAUGGGUAGCGAACAGGAUUAGAUACCCUGGUAGUCCAUGCCGUAAACGGUGGGCGCUAGGUGUAGGGGGCUUCCACGUCUUCUGUGCCGUAGCUAACGCAUUAAGCGCCCCGCCUGGGGAGUACGGCCGCAAGGCUAAAACUCAAAGGAAUUGACGGGGGCCCGCACAAGCGGCGGAGCAUGUGGAUUAAUUCGAUGCAACGCGAAGAACCUUACCUGGGCUUGACAUACACCAGAUCGCUGCAGAGAUGUAGUUUCCCUUGUGGUUGGUGUACAGGUGGUGCAUGGUUGUCGUCAGCUCGUGUCGUGAGAUGUUGGGUUAAGUCCCGCAACGAGCGCAACCCUUGUCUUAUGUUGCCAGCAUUUUGGUUGGGGACUCAUGAGAGACUGCCGGGGUUAAC